GAUGCCCGCCAGGAGUCUUCAGUCCUUGGUGGCUGGUUAUCGGAGACCCACAGGCCUGAUUGCAGGAAAGCAUAGAGGAACAAAGCCACUCUCCUCCAACCACCAGACUCUCCAGUGAUUCCUAUGUGACCUGCCUGCCAAUCAGCCCAGAGUGCUGCCAUUGACCCAAUCUGUGGGUUCUCUACAGGGCCAACAGCUGUGAUGACCAAGCCCCAUUUUAAUACAGGUGUAGAAACCAAAACCCAGAGAAAGAAUGGAGUUGGCCUUCUGAUUCUUGGUCCAGGACAUUCGAGGAGACCUAAGGCAGGUCCUUCGCAGCCCAUGUGAUCUGGGAUACCACCCCUUCCUCGCCUGGAUCUCUCCCUCCCCAGGAUCCUCAUUAACCAGUCCAAAAAGAAUGGGAGAGCACUUCCGAUGUGAUAUAAGGCCUACGCAGACUCAAGCAGUACAGCUUACCUCCCUCCAUGUGCAGGGAAUGGAGCUGGACAGCCAUUAGGAUGUGAUUUCCAUCUUCAGGGAGACCGGGGAGACCAAAUUGAGACGUCAGAAGUAACCAUAGAUUCUGUCCCCUUUUAAGUUUUUCCAGCUGGUACUGAGGAGCCCUCAGGGUCUCCAGGAGCACCCUACCCCAGACUGCCAAAAAGCUAGGACCAACCCCUUAGCCUCCACUUCAUCCCUAGCGGCUCGGCUUUCAUAGUCUUUGUUUCUUAUUUGUUGGGCUUCUGUAUGAGAUCACCUUUAAAUAAAGUACUGUACUCAUUUUUUACCACACACACACACACA
Nannospalax galili (Upper Galilee mountains blind mole rat) is the source of this 783-nucleotide long non-coding RNA. RefSeq lists it as uncharacterized. The transcript is spliced from 3 exons. Lineage: Eukaryota; Metazoa; Chordata; Mammalia; Rodentia; Spalacidae. The record is from RefSeq and is a predicted model, not a curated record.